GGUCAGCUGACACAUCCCUGCCAAUCUCCGGCAGACCCUCCCUCCCAGGCCCUCCCACCUCCUGGACAGCAUCCAUGUUGAAGCUGCCUUCAACAUGGAUGCUGUCCAGGAAGUAGGAGGGUCUGGGAGGGAGGGUCUGCCGGAGAUUGGCAGGGAUGUGUCAGCUG
Molecule: non-coding RNA, 167 nt
Organism: Pelobates cultripes (western spadefoot toad)
Lineage: Eukaryota; Metazoa; Chordata; Amphibia; Anura; Pelobatidae
Source: the annotation of a GenBank genome assembly